GACGUAGGGGGCCAGCGUUGCUCGGAAUUACUGGGUGUAAAGGGUUCGUAGGCGGUGCGGCAAGUUGGGAGUGAAAUCUCUGGGCUCAACCCAGAGGCUGCUUCCAAAACUGCUGUGCUUGAGUGUGGGAGAGGCGCGUGGAAUUGCAGGUGUAGCGGUGAAAUGCGUAGAUAUCGUAAGGAAGACCAGUGGCGAAGGCGGGUCUCUGGACAGUUCCUGACACUGAGACACGAAGGCCAGGGGAGCAAACGGG
RNAcentral lists this ribosomal RNA (253 nucleotides) under uncultured prokaryote. RNAcentral describes it as "partial 16S ribosomal RNA". It matches the Rfam family "Bacterial small subunit ribosomal RNA", at positions 524 to 776 of the family's 1533-position model. The record is from RNAcentral.